This is a non-coding RNA of Hydra vulgaris (swiftwater hydra), 456 nucleotides long. Lineage: Eukaryota; Metazoa; Cnidaria; Hydrozoa; Anthoathecata; Hydridae. The record is from RefSeq and is a predicted model, not a curated record.
ACAAAUAAAAAAGUUAUUUAACAUAAUUAAUUUUUUAUUACUUAUUUAGGAAAAUAUGCCAUAACAUCCAAUUUAGCUGAAAUCUUACAAACCUUCUUACCUGAUGAUAUUAAAGAAGGUCAUAAUUAUUUUUUUAAAUACCGUGGCUCAUUAACAGCACCACCGUGUUUGGAGACCGUAGAUUGGUUUGUAUUGCCAAACUGCUGUAAACUUAAAGUUCCAACUGAAUUUUUAUUCACCUUACGGCAACUUCGCUCGAAUUUGAAUAACGCAAACAUGGAGCUUUGUGAUAACUUUAGACCAAUCCAGGAACGAACUAAUGAGGAAGUUUUUUGGUAAAAUUAUAUUAUGAAAGUUAUAAUGUAAAUAAAGGUACUUACAGUAAACUUAGAGUUGUAAAAUUUUGUUAAAAUUUUGUAACUGCAUAUGUUCAGUAAUAAAUUACUGUGUUCUGCA